GAUGAACGCUGGCGGCGUGCCUAAUACAUGCAAGUCGAGCGAACGGACGAGAAGCUUGCUUCUCUGAUGUUAGCGGCGGACGGGUGAGUAACACGUGGAUAACCUACCUAUAAGACUGGGAUAACUUCGGGAAACCGGAGCUAAUACCGGAUAAUAUUAUGAACCGCAUGGUUCAAAAGUGAAAGACGGUCUUGCUGUCACUUAUAGAUGGAUCCGCGCUGCAUUAGCUAGUUGGUAAGGAAACGGCUUACCAAGGCAACGAUGCAUAGCCGACCUGAGAGGGUGAUCGGCCACACUGGAACUGAGACACGGUCCAGACUCCUACGGGAGGCAGCAGUAGGGAGUCUUCCGCAAUGGGCGAAAGCCUGACGGAGCAACGCCGCGUGAGUGAUGAAGGUCUUCGGAUCGUAAAACUCUGUUAUUAGGGAAGAACAUAUGUGUAAGUAACUGUGCACAUCUUGACGGUACCUAAUCAGAAAGCCACGGCUAACUACGUG
This 497-nucleotide ribosomal RNA is filed under the name uncultured bacterium. Its description in RNAcentral is "partial 16S ribosomal RNA". It matches the Rfam family "Bacterial small subunit ribosomal RNA", at positions 28 to 507 of the family's 1533-position model. The record is from RNAcentral.